This 913-nucleotide ribosomal RNA is filed under the name uncultured compost archaeon. RNAcentral's name for it is "bacterial SSU rRNA". It matches the Rfam family "Archaeal small subunit ribosomal RNA", at positions 1 to 922 of the family's 1478-position model. The record is from RNAcentral.
UUCCGGUUGAUCCUGCCGGAGGUCACUGCUAUCGGGGUUCGAUUAAGCCAUGCGAGUCGAGAGGGUUCAGACCCUCGGCGGACUGCUCAGUAACACGUGGAUAAUCUGCCCUAUGGUGGAGGAUAACCCCGGGAAACUGGGGAUAAUACUCCAUAGGUCAGGAGUACUGGAAUGUCUCCUAACUGAAAGUUUCGGCGCCAUAGGAUGAAUCUGCGGCCGAUUAGGUAGUUGUUGGGGUAACGGCCCAACAAGCCCGUAAUCGGUACGGGUUGUGGGAGCAAGAGCCCGGAGAUGGAAUCUGAGACACGAUUCCAGGCCCUACGGGGCGCAGCAGGCGCGAAAACUUUACAAUGCAGGAAACUGUGAUAAGGGAACCCCGAGUGCCCGUACACGCGGGCUGUCCCGGUGUUUAAAACACAUCGGAAGAAAGGGCCGGGCAAGACCGGUGCCAGCCGCCGCGGUAAUACCGGCGGCUCGAGUGGUGACCACUUUUAUUGGGCUUAAAGCGUUCGUAGCUUGAUUUUUAAGUCUCUUGGGAAAUCUCACGGCUUAACUGUGAGGCGUCUAAGAGAUACUGGGAGUCUAGGGACCGGGAGAGGUAAGAGGUACUUCAGGGGUAGAAGUGAAAUUCUGUAAUCCUUGAGGGACCACCGAUGGCGAAGGCAUCUUACCAGAACGGCUUCGACAGUGAGGAACGAAAGCUGGGGGAGCAAACCGGAUUAGAUACCCGGGUAGUCCCAGCUGUAAACGAUGCAGACUCGGUGAUGGACUAGCUUAAUGCUAGUCCAGUGCCGCAGGGAGGCCGUUAAGUCUGCCGCCUGGGUAGUACGGUCGCAAGACUGAAACUUAAAGGAAUUGGCGGGGGAGCACCACAAGGGGUGAAGCCUGCGGUUCAAUUGGAUUCAACGCCGGG